This 4292-nucleotide long non-coding RNA is filed under the name Coffea arabica (coffee). RNAcentral describes it as "long non-coding RNA (CARA_LNC004171)". Lineage: Eukaryota; Viridiplantae; Streptophyta; Magnoliopsida; Gentianales; Rubiaceae. The record is from RNAcentral.
AACAUGUCACGCGUUGCAAACUGCGGAAUAGAAUCGUACCGCCCCAACUAAGAAAAAAAAUUCAUACAACAAAAUACAACAAUCAAGCCAAGCAUCCAAAAUUAAGUUUUACACAUUUUCCAGCUUCAAGUGGCAAUCCAAAAUAAAAAGUACAUUAUCCAAAUUUAACACACUACAGCCCACACAAAUAGUCAUAGUAUACAAAUACAUCCCAAAACGAAACAUGGAUAAGUUUCAAAACUUUCAAUUUCCAGAACCUGUCAAGGAAAACAAAUAAACGUGGGGUGAGCUAAAGCUCAGUGGUGCCCCAAAACAUGCAGUCACGUAAAUCAAACAGCGAGUAAUAACUUAACCAAAUUGAACAGUUAGGAAAGCAUAUAACAGCACAAGGUAGGAUACAGGGGCUCUCAGGAGCCAUUUUCCUCUCUUGAUCACCAUUCAUCGUAGUUGACCCUCCGUCAACUCUCACUACUUAUAGUCCAUGUAGAUCCACUCAUUUUAAUCCUAACCCGUCACCGUUCUUACCCCUGUCUCGGGCCCGAACACCGACUAAGGACGCAGUAUACUCGAGAUAUACCCGUAGAUGAUUGGUCGAGGGAUUCACCCAACGACGUUAUUGUAGUUAGAUUCAUGCGUCGAGGGAUUUACCCAACGACGUGAUUGUAGUUAGAUUCAUGCGUCGAGAGAUUCACUCAACGACGUGAUUGCAGUCAGAUUCAUGCGUCGAGGGAUUCACCCAACGACGUUACUGCGUUUAGAUUCAUGAGAAAAUGAUUCACGCAAGUCACUACUCGAACGGCUAGUGCGAUAAAGUACACACUGCUCACUUCGAUGGAUCAAAAACUAGUUUUGCAAGUAUCACAUUUCAAGUCAAGAAAGCACUUUAAUCAAGUAGGAAUAGAACAAGCAGGGACACUCACCAAGAGUGAAGUUCAGAUGUCAAGUUGGAAAUCGAAUUCCGCGUCCUCGCAAUAUCCUAAAAUACCAAAUUUUGAAACUAUAAGUUUUCUAUUCAAUUUUUAAACUUAUUCGUAUAGGGAAUUAUCUAAUAUAUUACUAGUUUACUUUCUCAAGUAAUUUCAAAAAUCUACUUAGGUUGAAACUUGACAAAAGUAGUAAAAAUGUUUCUUAUAGUUUUCCUUGAGAUAUUUUUCCUUAGAAAAGGGUAACUAGUAUUAUUUUCUUGAAACAAUUCGACCAUCCACUUAGGAUUGAAAUUUAGUAAAAGUAGGAAAUGUUUUAUAUGGCUUUCCUUAAAAAUAUGUUUCUCUAUACGAGUGCGGCUAGUACUAUUUUAUUUAGAAUAAGUUUUCUUGCCGAGGAAGUUUUCUGCUAUUUUUAGUUAAAGUCACUAAAAUAUUGUAUUUUGGAAAUUUUCCUCUAGACAAUUAGCCAGGGACAAUUUUAAGGAAAGAAAAGGAAAUAGAUCAAGACUUAGGGUUUUAAAACUAGUGAAAUCAUUUUCUAAAAGUAAUAAGGCUAGUUUACGCUUAAAGGAGAAAUAUCGAGUUGGCAAGGUUUAGAAAAUCCCUACAUGAAAUUUCUAACGUUAACAUACAGUGCUAAGUUUUAUCGUACCAUACUAGAGUGAAGAUAUAUUUAAAUAGCUUGCUUAAAAAAAAAAACUUCUCAAGUUCACAGGACCAAAAUGGAUUCCUCACGAUUCCGAUUUACAAGCACAUAAUAUUUCAGAUUUGUCAAUAUAACCAACUCACAUUUCAAAUAGAAAUCUCACUAGGGCUUCGUCAAUCAUUAGCCCUAAGUUUCAACAGAUUCAAUUCUGAUCAAGAAUAAAACGAAUGACCAAGGUUUCGUCAAUCAUUAGCACUUGAUUUUGGCAAGCUCAUGUCACAUCUUGACUAAAUCAAAAUGAAGGUAAGGCCUCCAAGAAAUUCCAGCAAUUAAAUUUCAUCACCCUUUAAUACUUAUAAAAUCAUUCAAAUGGCCAAGAGCUUCGUCAAUCAUUAGCUCUGGACAUCAAGCAAUCACUUUCUACUACAAUUCAAACAGAAAUUCAACUCAAAACCAAGAGAAAAGUCACGACUAACUUAACUCUUAAAUAACUCUAGUUCCACAAAUCAAACAAUUGUGAAAGUUAUACUGUUGUAAAAUAGAUUUUUAGUACUAUCACAUCCCAGAAGACACUUUUCAGAGAUUCAAAUCACAAAUAGGCCAAAUGUUUGAUCCAGGUCAAAAUUCAGUUUCAUGAAGAAACAGGACAUUCAAGCAGGACAGCCUGCUUUGAGGAGUCACGGACAGCAGUACACAUGGAGAAAAAAUAUGAAAUUUCUACAGAACAAAGGUCCAUGACUCUAGUUUCAAAUGCCACUGACGGCACCUUAAUCGGAUUUUCCUACACCAAGAUAUAAGCAUUUUACUGAGACUGGUCAGUGAAAUCCGAAAAUCUGGAAACUUAUUUUUCACUUGUGAAAAACUCCUUUUUCUCUUUUAAAACCAUAAGGUUUUUAUUCAAACCAUCCAUAGAUUUAAGUAUGACAUACAUACCAGCAUAUACCAAGGCAAAUAACGUCUAAUUCCAGUAAAUGGUUCAGUCAAUAAAUCAUAUAUAUACUAAUCUGUCAUCAGCUAAGUACAACAGUCACCAAUUGGCAAUUCAACGUACGGUUACUUCCUUAAUUUCUCCUUUGUUAAUACUAACUUGACAUGCAGAGGAUGGUUGUUAAGCUACAGAGUAUCUUUAGCAGUGAUAUAUAAAGUUUACGGCCAAGGAAGUCGAAGGCAAAGUUGGUCCAGGUUCUAAUCCUCUCCCUCGGCCAUACUGGAAAAAUUUCAGCAUUUUGCUCCAACAUUUUUGGUUCAAUUCAACCCACAACUCAAGUGUUUCAUAUCUAUACCUCUUAUAAGACUUUAAACAACGUAAUUCAUGCAUGCUUCAAAGAAAAAUUUCAAAACCAAGCUGAGAUUCCAACUCAACCUUCGGCUAUCACAAAAGAAAUUCCAGCAUUUAUAUAUAUCAACAUUGUUGGUUCAAUCUUUCAAUAUAUCAAAUAUUUCAUCGCUAAACAACUUACACAACUUAAAAUUUACAUCUCUUAUGUAUUUCUAAACCAUUAUAUUCCAAGGGAAAAAUAAAAUAAAUUUCCAGAAACCAAUUAAAAUUUCCAAAGACAAACUGAAAAUUCUGGUUCAUACCUCUCGGCUAUCAAUACUUUUCCAGCACUUAGGGUUUUAUAAAUCCAACUUUUCCUUGGCUAAAACAUGGUUUUAGAUUAUCAAUUCGUCAUGUGAACCUUUGGCUAGCUAAUUAACAUUUCUGGUUCAAAAUCGAAUUCGAAUAACAACUACAAACAUCCCAAAAAUCCAGAAAUUUGUCCAGCUAGUCACGGAUGAGCAUGCAUGAAGAAUUUUUCUGUUUUCAUUUUAUUUUCUUGGUUAGCCGAGCUACUUAGCCUCAUGCAAGACUUAAUUACCUUAUUAUUAGUGAGGUAAUCACAUUUACCAGUUCAAAUUGUUACCAAAUAAACAGAUUAGUGCUGCCUUUUCAUUUCAGCUACUCGGCAGUCCAUUUCUUUCCAAAUCAAGGUUUCUUAUGCUUCAAAUUUAAUCAUCCAAUACGCACAAAUCAACAUGCAAAGCCACCUAAAGAAUUUACUUAUCAUAUCCAGUUCAAAACAGGUUCGGUCAGCAGCUAUACACAUCCACAAAUCCAGAAAUUCCUACAACUAUUCUCGGAUGAUCUUGCAUGCAGCAGGUUUUCUGGUUCAUCUUUAAUUUUCUGAGUUAAACCCGUUAAUUAGCUACAUGCAGAGCUUAAUCAUCUUGAAAUUUACUAGUUAAUCAUGGUUAGAGGCUCAAAACAGCAAAAUUAAACCAAAUGAAACGGCAUUAAAGCAGUCAGAUUCUCAGCAGAAACUUUUACUUCCAAAACAGAUUUUUCCACAACUUUGAUUUCAUCAUCCGACUGCACAAACAACACAUGCAAGCUCUGAUACAGCUUCAUCUACCAGCAAAUAGCUAUUCUAAGACUCGAAUUUACCUCAGCUAGCAACUCAGCUCACGCACAAGAAAGCUCUGAAAUUUCUCUCUCUCGGCUCACGCACAUUAUCUGGUCCUGAUUUUUGAUUUGCAGCUGGAAUGGUGUUGCGAUGAAGAUGGUUGCAGCUGGUGGAGGUUGAAAGGGAAACGGAGAAGACUCACGCACGACCUCUCCCUCACUUCCUUCAACUUACGGACAAAACCAGAAAAUUUGUUUUGCAGCUCACGGAUUCCCUCUCUCGGUUUGUAGAGUGCGUCUCUCUCUCACUCUCUCCCUUUGUCGACAAUAGUAAGGC